RNAcentral lists this ribosomal RNA (490 nucleotides) under uncultured bacterium. Its description in RNAcentral is "partial 16S ribosomal RNA". It matches the Rfam family "Bacterial small subunit ribosomal RNA", at positions 30 to 507 of the family's 1533-position model. The record is from RNAcentral.
AUUGAACGCUGGCGGCAUGCCUUACACAUGCAAGUCGAACGGCAGCAUGAUCUAGCUUGCUAGAUUGAUGGCGAGUGGCGAACGGGUGAGUAAUACAUCGGAACGUGCCCUGUAGUGGGGGAUAACUAGUCGAGAGAUUAGCUAAUACCGCAUACGACCUGAGGGUGAAAGUGGGGGACCGCAAGGCCUCAUGCUAUAGGAGCGGCCGAUGUCUGAUUAGCUAGUUGGUGAGGUAAAGGCUCACCAAGGCGACGAUCAGUAGCUGGUCUGAGAGGACGAUCAGCCACACUGGGACUGAGACACGGCCCAGACUCCUACGGGAGGCAGCAGUGGGGAAUUUUGGACAAUGGGCGAAAGCCUGAUCCAGCAAUGCCGCGUGUGUGAAGAAGGCCUUCGGGUUGUAAAGCACUUUUGUCCGGAAAGAAAUGGCUCUGGUUAAUACCUGGGGUCGAUGACGGUACCGGAAGAAUAAGGACCGGCUAACUACGUG